UGAUCGGUAGCUCAGUUGGCAGAGCACGGGACUGUUAAUCCCGGGGUCGCAGGUUCGAGCCCUGCCCGAUCAG
RNAcentral lists this transfer RNA (73 nucleotides) under Streptomyces sp. SID14515. RNAcentral's name for it is "tRNA-Asn". It matches the Rfam family "tRNA". From Rfam's summary of the family: Transfer RNA (tRNA) molecules are approximately 80 nucleotides in length. The record is from RNAcentral. Lineage: Bacteria; Bacillati; Actinomycetota; Actinomycetes; Kitasatosporales; Streptomycetaceae.